UAUUCAGAUUAUGUGAUUUGUUUUUUAAUCUAAUUUUAGAAUUUAGAAAUAACUUGUUGGCUUUCAUUAUUAUCAAUUUAUUUUUUGCAGUAGAGUAGAAAUAUUUAUUUGCAUUAUUUAUUUAUUUCAAUAUAUGAAAAAUAUGUUGAGAACUAUAAUGGCGGACACUGUUUCGGCAAAACCAAACAUGUUUAAUGGAACAAAUUUUCGUCAGUGAC
RNAcentral lists this long non-coding RNA (218 nucleotides) under Elaeis guineensis (African oil palm). RNAcentral describes it as "long non-coding RNA (EGUI_LNC006800)". Lineage: Eukaryota; Viridiplantae; Streptophyta; Magnoliopsida; Arecales; Arecaceae. The record is from RNAcentral.